Molecule: ribosomal RNA, 395 nt
Filed under: uncultured bacterium
Lineage: Bacteria
Description: bacterial SSU rRNA
Rfam family: Bacterial small subunit ribosomal RNA
Source: RNAcentral
AACGAACCUUGGCGGUGUGCCUAAUACAUGCAAGUCGAGCGAGAAAGCCGGGGCAACUCGGCGAGUACAGCGGCGGAAGGGUGCGUAAUACAUGGUUAACGUACCCCCUAGUUAGGGAUAACCCUCCGAAAGGUGGGCUAAUACCGGAUAAUGGCAAUGGGUGGCAUCACUUGUUGCUUAAAGACGCAAGUCACUAGGGGAGCGGACCAUGGCCUAUCAGCUAGUUGGCGGGGUAACGCCCACCAAGGCGAUGACGGGUAGCCGGACUGAGAGGUUGAACGGCCACACGGGAACUGAGACACGGUCCCGACAUCUACGGAUGGCAGCAGUAGGGAAUCUUGCGCAAUGGGCGAAAGCCUGACGCAGCGACACCGCGUGGGGAUGAAGGCCUUCGG